GAUGAACGCUGGCGGCGUGCCUAAUACAUGCAAGUCGAGCGAACAGACGAGGAGCUUGCUCUUUUCACGUGAGCGGCGGACGGGUGAGUAACACGUGGAUAACCUACCUAUAAGACUGGGAUAACUACGGGAAACGGGAGCUAAUACCGGAUAAUAUAUUGAACCGCAUGGUUCAUUAGUGAAAGACGGUUUUGCUGUCACUUAUAGAGGGAUUCCCUCGUCUUUAGCUAGUUGGUAAGGUAACGGUCUACCAGGGCAACGAAGCGUAGCCGACCUGAGAGGGGGAUCGGCACCACGGGAACGGGAACCGGCUCAAGCUCCCUACGGGAGGAACCAGUAGGGAACCUUGGGCAUUGGGCGAAGGCCUACCGGAGCAACCCGCCUGAGGGAAUGAAGGUCUCGGGUCCGAAAGCCCCGGUUUUUGGGAAGAAACAGUUGUGGAAUGAAAUGUGCACGUCUUGACGGUACCUAAUCAGAAAGCCACGGCUAACUACGUG
This 497-nucleotide ribosomal RNA is filed under the name uncultured bacterium. RNAcentral's name for it is "partial 16S ribosomal RNA". It matches the Rfam family "Bacterial small subunit ribosomal RNA", at positions 28 to 507 of the family's 1533-position model. The record is from RNAcentral.